UCCUACGGGGGGCAGCAGUGGGGAAUUUUGCGCAAUGGGGGAAACCCUGACGCAGCAACGCCGCGUGAGUGAUGAAGGCCUUCGGGUCGUAAAGCUCUGUCAGAGGGAAAGAAAUGCGGGUGGCUAAUAUCCAUUCCGCUUGACGGUACCCUCAAAGGAAGCACCGGCUAACUCCGUGCCAGCAGCCGCGGUAAUACGGAGGGUGCGAGCGUUGUUCGGAAUUAUUGGGCGUAAAGCGCGUGUAGGCGGUUUUUUAAGUCUGAUGUGAAAGCCCCGGGCUCAACCUGGGAAGUGCAUUGGAAACUGGGAGACUUGAAUACGGGAGAGGGUAGUGGAAUUCCUGGUGUAGGAGUGAAAUCCGUAGAUAUCAGGAGGAACACCGGUGGCGAAGGCGGCUACCUGGACCGAUAUUGACGCUGAGACGCGAAAGCGUGGGGAGCAAACAGGAUUAGAUACCCGUGUAGUCCC
This 468-nucleotide ribosomal RNA is filed under the name uncultured bacterium. Its description in RNAcentral is "bacterial SSU rRNA". It matches the Rfam family "Bacterial small subunit ribosomal RNA", at positions 337 to 797 of the family's 1533-position model. The record is from RNAcentral.